Molecule: ribosomal RNA, 301 nt
Filed under: uncultured bacterium
Lineage: Bacteria
Description: partial 16S ribosomal RNA
Rfam family: Bacterial small subunit ribosomal RNA
Source: RNAcentral
CAGUCGCCACGGUAAUACGUAGGGUGCGAGCGUUGCUCGGAAUGACUGGGCGUAAAGGGCGCGUAGGCGGCGAUCAAAGUCAGGCGUGAAAUUCCUGGGCUCAACCUGGGGGCUGCGCUUGAUACUUGGUUGCUUGAGUGGGGAAGAGGGUCGUGGAAUUCCCAGUGUAGCGGUGAAAUGCGUAGAUAUAUGGAGGAACACCGGUGGCGAAAGCGGCUCUCUGGCUUGUAACUGACGCUGAGGCUCGAAAGCGUGGGGAGCAAACAGGAUUAGAUACCCCCGUAGUCCCUGUCUCUUAUAC